Molecule: long non-coding RNA, 584 nt
Organism: Danaus plexippus (monarch butterfly)
Lineage: Eukaryota; Metazoa; Arthropoda; Insecta; Lepidoptera; Nymphalidae
Exons: 2
Source: RefSeq, a predicted model, not a curated record
CUGUUGUUUAUUUAAGUUAUUAGGUAGAAAAUAACGAAACCGUAAUUGCUAAUUAAAAUCUAAUUUCACUAAUCUAAAAAGUAUCACGCAUUUACCUACGUCUAGACAUUAAUAGGAUUCUUGGGCGUUAACUCGAAGAAGUCAAGACAAAUUUUAAUUUAGUGCACUAAAAUGAAUUUGCUGUCGUUUUUAAUUCUGGGCAUAAUUUUUGUAGUGGAGGUAUUUGCGCAGGUUCCGUAUGACUACAUACCUUUGGGUCGACAAGCUCGUAGGGACCGCCAGCAACCUCAUCCUUCCGAUAUUAAUCUAAAUUAUGAGAGGCUUUUCCCUAUGCGACGCGAAGGCUUUGAUUAGUUCUAUUAUAUUUGCCCCAAUUUAAUGCAUAACACGUCAGUAUUACAACUCGAUGCAGCAAAAUGUUACUAAGUUUCAUUAUAUUUAUUUAUAUGUUCGUGUUAUAAACAAAAUAAAAUUUCGUUUUAAAAUCACAAUAGGUAGAUAAGGUUACAGUUGUAUUAUUUUUUAAAGUAAUUUAAUAUCAAUCAUUGUUGUUGACGAUUAAAAAAAUAUGAUGUUUGUAUUCA